Transfer RNA from Cupriavidus sp., 74 nucleotides. It matches the Rfam family "tRNA". From Rfam's summary of the family: Transfer RNA (tRNA) molecules are approximately 80 nucleotides in length. The record is from Rfam. NCBI's taxonomy places the organism in Bacteria, Pseudomonadati, Pseudomonadota, Betaproteobacteria, Burkholderiales, Burkholderiaceae.
GCGUCCUUAGCUCAGUUGGAUAGAGCACUCGCCUUCUAAGCGAGCGGUCAGAGGUUCGAAUCCUCUAGGACGCG